GCCCCAGUAGCUCAGUGGUAGAGCGCCUGUCUCGUAAACAGGAGGUCGAGGGUUCAACUCCCUCUUGGGGCU
Molecule: transfer RNA, 72 nt
Filed under: Candidatus Micrarchaeum acidiphilum ARMAN-2
Lineage: Archaea; Nanobdellati; Microcaldota; Candidatus Micrarchaeia; Candidatus Micrarchaeales; Candidatus Micrarchaeaceae
Also listed under: 1 other name
Description: tRNA-Thr
Rfam family: tRNA
About the family: Transfer RNA (tRNA) molecules are approximately 80 nucleotides in length. Their secondary structure includes four short double-helical elements and three loops (D, anti-codon, and T loops).
Source: RNAcentral